RNAcentral lists this ribosomal RNA (1016 nucleotides) under uncultured bacterium. RNAcentral describes it as "bacterial SSU rRNA". It matches the Rfam family "Bacterial small subunit ribosomal RNA", at positions 357 to 1376 of the family's 1533-position model. The record is from RNAcentral.
AGGAAUAUUGGUCAAUGGGCGCGAGCCUGAACCAGCCAAGUAGCGUGAAGGAUGAAGGUCCUAUGGAUUGUAAACUUCUUUUAUACGGGAAUAAAGUGGUCCACGUGUGGGCUUUUGCAUGUACCGUAUGAAUAAGCAUCGGCUAACUCCGUGCCAGCAGCCGCGGUAAUACGGAGGAUGCGAGCGUUAUCCGGAUUUAUUGGGUUUAAAGGGAGCGCAGACGGGGGAUUAAGUCAGUUGUGAAAGUUUGCGGCUCAACCGUAAAAUUGCAGUUGAUACUGGUUCCCUUGAGUGCAGUUGAGGCAGGCGGAAUUCGUGGUGUAGCGGUGAAAUGCAUAGAUAUCACGAAGAACCCCGAUUGCGAAGGCAGCCUGCUAAGCUGUAACUGACGUUGAGGCUCGAAAGUGUGGGUAUCAAACAGGAUUAGAUACCCUGGUAGUCCACACGGUAAACGAUGGAUACUCGCUGUUGGCGAUAUACUGUCAGCGGCCAAGCGAAAGCAUUAAGUAUCCCACCUGGGGAGUACGCCGGCAACGGUGAAACUCAAAGGAAUUGACGGGGGCCCGCACAAGCGGAGGAACAUGUGGUUUAAUUCGAUGAUACGCGAGGAACCUUACCCGGGCUUAAAUUGCAGACGAAUUACUUGGAAACAGGUAAGCCGCAAGGCGUCUGUGAAGGUGCUGCAUGGUUGUCGUCAGCUCGUGCCGUGAGGUGUCGGCUUAAGUGCCAUAACGAGCGCAACCCUCGUGGCCAGUUACUAGCAGGUAACGCUGAGGACUCUGGCCAGACUGCCAUCGUAAGAUGCGAGGAAGGUGGGGAUGACGUCAAAUCAGCACGGCCCUUACGUCCGGGGCUACACACGUGUUACAAUGGGAGGUACAGAAGGCAGCUACCCGGCGACGGGAUGCCAAUCUCCAAAGCCUCUCUCAGUUCGGACUGGAGUCUGCAACCCGACUCCACGAAGCUGGAUUCGCUAGUAAUCGCGCAUCAGCCACGGCGCGGUGAAUACGUUCCCG